Molecule: microRNA, 22 nt
Filed under: Mus musculus (house mouse)
Lineage: Eukaryota; Metazoa; Chordata; Mammalia; Rodentia; Muridae
Description: mmu-miR-6947-3p
Source: miRBase by way of RNAcentral
GCAGCCUCUUUCCCUGGCAUCA